Molecule: ribosomal RNA, 889 nt
Filed under: uncultured bacterium
Lineage: Bacteria
Description: bacterial SSU rRNA
Rfam family: Bacterial small subunit ribosomal RNA
Source: RNAcentral
AGAGUUUGAUCCUGGCUCAGGAUGAACGCUGGCGGCGUGCCUAAUACAUGCAAGUCGAACGCUUUGUCUUUAAUUGAUAUGAAGAGCUUGCUCUGAUUUGAUUUUAUCUGACAAAGAGUGGCGAACGGGUGAGUAACACGUGGGUAACCUACCUCUUAGCAGGGGAUAACAUUUGGAAACAAGUGCUAAUACCGUAUAAUACCAACAACCGCAUGGUUGUUGGUUGAAAGAUGGUUCUGCUAUCACUAAGAGAUGGACCCGCGGUGCAUUAGCUAGUUGGUAAGGUAACGGCUUACCAAGGCAAUGAUGCAUAGCCGAGUUGAGAGACUGAUCGGCCACAAUGGGACUGAGACACGGCCCAUACUCCUACGGGAGGCAGCAGUAGGGAAUCUUCCACAAUGGGCGCAAGCCUGAUGGAGCAACGCCGCGUGUGUGAUGAAGGGUUUCGGCUCGUAAAACACUGUUAUAAGAGAAGAACGGCACUGAGAGUAACUGUUCAGUGUGUGACGGUAUCUUACCAGAAAGGAACGGCUAAAUACGUGCCAGCAGCCGCGGUAAUACGUAUGUUCCAAGCGUUAUCCGGAUUUAUUGGGCGUAAAGCGAGCGCAGACGGUUAUUUAAGUCUGAAGUGAAAGCCCUCAGCUCAACUGAGGAAUGGCUUUGGAAACUGGAUGACUUGAGUGCAGUAGAGGAAAGUGGAACUCCAUGUGUAGCGGUGAAAUGCGUAGAUAUAUGGAAGAACACCAGUGGCGAAGGCGGCUUUCUGGACUGUAACUGACGUUGAGGCUCGAAAGUGUGGGUAGCAAACAGGAUUAGAUACCCUGGUAGUCCACACCGUAAACGAUGAGUGCUAGAUGUUCGAGGGUUUCCGCCCUUGAGUGUCGCAGCU